This 492-nucleotide ribosomal RNA is filed under the name uncultured bacterium. RNAcentral's name for it is "partial 16S ribosomal RNA". It matches the Rfam family "Bacterial small subunit ribosomal RNA", at positions 29 to 507 of the family's 1533-position model. The record is from RNAcentral.
AGUGAACGCUGGCGGUAGACCUAACACAUGCAAGUCGAACGGCAGCACAGUAAGAGCUUGCUCUUACGGGUGGCGAGUGGCGGACGGGUGAGGAAUACAUCGGAAUCUACUUUUUCGUGGGGGAUAACGUAGGGAAACUUACGCUAAUACCGCAUACGACCUACGGGUGAAAGCAGGGGAUCUUCGGACCCUGCGCGAUUGAAUGAGCCGAUGUCGGAUUAGCUAGUUGGCGGGGUAAAGGCCCACCAAGGCGACGAUCCGUAGCUGGUCUGAGAGGAUGAUCAGCCACACUGGAACUGAGACACGGUCCAGACUCCUACGGGAGGCAGCAGUGGGGAAUAUUGGACAAAGGGCGCAAGCCUGAUCCAGCCAUACCGCGUGGGUGAAGAAGGCCUUCGGGUUGUAAAGCCCUUUUGUUGGGAAAGAAAAGCAGCAGGUUAAUACCCCGCUGUUCUGACGGUACCCAAAGAAUAAGCACCGGCUAACUUCGUG